CACCAUAGGACUGGCCGUCCCAUAUGAAAAGAUUAUAUUAGAAUUGAAUGAAGCUUUGUUUAUAUAUUGAUAAUGACAGUAUAUAUAUCGUGUCUUGACUAAUUGCGUGCCAGCAGUCGCGGUAAUACGUAAGAGACUAGUGUUAUUCAUCUUAAUUAGGUUUAAAGGGUACCCAGACGGUCAAUAUAGCUUAUAAAAUGUGAGUACUUGACUAGAGUUUUAUGUAAGAGGGCAGUACUUGAGGAGGAGAGAUGAAAUUUCGUGAUACCAAAGGGACUCUGUAAAGGCGAAGGCAGCCCUCUAUGUAAAAACUGACGUUGAAGGACGAAGGCACAGAGAACAAACAGGAUUAGAUACCCAAGUAGUCUUUGCAGUAAAUGAUGAAUGCCAUAGGUUAGAUUAAUCAAACAUAGUCUAGGGUUAGUCUAGCAAACUAAUGACCUAUACUACAAUGAAAAAUAUCUGGUCUAUAAAUGAAAGUGUAAGCAUUUCACCUCAAGAGUAAUGUGGCAACGCAGGAAC
This 522-nucleotide ribosomal RNA is filed under the name Fusarium oxysporum. RNAcentral's name for it is "SSU rRNA". It matches the Rfam family "Bacterial small subunit ribosomal RNA", at positions 380 to 900 of the family's 1533-position model. Lineage: Eukaryota; Fungi; Ascomycota; Sordariomycetes; Hypocreales; Nectriaceae. The record is from RNAcentral.